GCUAAGAAAGUGAAGAAAAUGAAAAAGACGAAGAAUGAAAUUGAGAUCAGGAUUGCAAUGACCAAUGCGCACUCUUUCACCUAUAUCUAUACAUAUAAAACAAUGAAUUGUUCGUACAACUACCAGAAAGAUUGGAGGAUUCAGUGAAAUAUUUGAAAAUUGGUGAGAUUUCAGUGCCUAUGGAAAGUGACCAGAGAAUCAUAUAAAGCAAAGUGUGAAGGAUGGAUCUAAUCUAAAAGACAGAAACAUUAAAACGAUUGAAAUAGAAAUUUGAAGACAGAGAUGGAAUUGAGAAAGA
Molecule: unclassified non-coding RNA, 298 nt
Filed under: Hevea brasiliensis (rubber tree)
Lineage: Eukaryota; Viridiplantae; Streptophyta; Magnoliopsida; Malpighiales; Euphorbiaceae
Source: RNAcentral